RNAcentral lists this ribosomal RNA (119 nucleotides) under Pteropus alecto (black flying fox). The record is from RNAcentral. Lineage: Eukaryota; Metazoa; Chordata; Mammalia; Chiroptera; Pteropodidae.
GUCUAUGGCCAUGCGACCCUGAGCAUGCCCAAUCUUGUCUGAUCUCGGAAGCUAAGCAUGGUCAAGCCUGGUUAGUACUUGGAUGGGAGACUACCUAGGAAUACCAGGUGCUGUAGGUG